Molecule: unclassified non-coding RNA, 300 nt
Filed under: Hevea brasiliensis (rubber tree)
Lineage: Eukaryota; Viridiplantae; Streptophyta; Magnoliopsida; Malpighiales; Euphorbiaceae
Source: RNAcentral
AAAAAAAAAAAAAGAACUGAUGAGUUUAUAUUUAUUAAUUCAUCAUCUUAAAUAGAAUAUCUCAUUUAAUAAAAAUGAUGAUUAUGAAUUCCCGGAUCUCAUACACGUAUAAAAACAAUCAAAAGUAAUCGCAUAUAAUAUUAAUAAGAAGCAUCAAUAGUAUUGGCUCUGCUGUCCUAAUUCUGAAUAUGCAAGUCAAAGAUAGCUAAUUAAUUAGAAUUAUACAUAUCAUUUAUCAAUGAAUUUUAACUCGAAGAUAUUGAACUCAUUCUCAAACCUUUAAAAUUUCGAAUUAGAACU